UUUUGUUUAAAAAUGCAGGCCAAUUGUCAAAAUUGUGACCAAAGUGCCUUACUAUGACCAGAUGGUCACUUUCAAAAACUUAUUGCUACAAAAGUCUUUUUGUGAAUAGUCAGGGUGCUUGCACAUGUAUGGAUCUGUAUAUUUGUAGCACGUGUAUUGAAGAAUAUUGGGAGUUUUAGCAUUGAGAAGCUUGGAGAAAUGUGGGAUUACAGGUAUGAGCCACCGUACCAGGCCAUGAGGUUUAUUUUAAAUUUGCCCAAUAUAAUCUUGCCUUUUGAAUAGUACAUGAUUUGGGGAAAUAUUUAUUAACCUCU
Molecule: long non-coding RNA, 314 nt
Filed under: Pan troglodytes (chimpanzee)
Lineage: Eukaryota; Metazoa; Chordata; Mammalia; Primates; Hominidae
Description: long non-coding RNA NONPTRT015158
Source: RNAcentral